UCUAUUAAAAUUCUUAAGUAGUAAUUUUUGAAACUUAAAAAUUUGACGGUAUUUAAUUUUUAAAGGAAUAUGUAAUUUAAUCGAUUUUACACGUUAAAUCUUACUUAUUUUAUUUUUGUAUAUCUCCGUUGUCAGAUUUUAUAUUAAAUAAUUAUAAUAUUCUUAUAAAAUAAUUUUAUUACAUCAGGUCAAGAUCCAAAAUAAAUAAGUUAUUAUGUAUUACAAUCAAAUAUAUUGUAAUAGAUUUAUUUUGGAAAUAAUUUUGAAAUUGAAUUUACAAGUAAGAUGUUUUAGAUUAAAUAUCUGAAAUUAAUUAAAUAUGU
RNAcentral lists this ribosomal RNA (323 nucleotides) under Peripatoides sp. DNA103696. RNAcentral describes it as "partial 12S ribosomal RNA". Lineage: Eukaryota; Metazoa; Onychophora; Udeonychophora; Euonychophora; Peripatopsidae. The record is from RNAcentral.